ACGUGACUAUUGAUUACGUAGCAGAGCGCAUGAGCAGAGGAGAGCGAACGUCCAUUGUAUUUGAUAAUUUGGCGCGUGUUGUCCGUAUAACUUUAUUCCAUUUUACAAAAAUUCUCUAACUUGUCCACUUGGUCUUAAAACUAAAAGGAAAUGAGCGGCGAAUUAGUAAUCAUAGCCGUAGACGGCAGCAAACAAGCAGAAGAGGCUUUUGAAUGGUACACCAAGCAUCUUCAUAAGGCUGGUAACAGGUUAAUCUUGGCCCAUAGCAUUGAAGCACCAUCUAUGCCUACAAGAGAGUCAUGGGAACAACAAACUCAAGCUGGACAAGUGAAAAGUAAGGAAUUGAAAGAAAAAUACGAUGAGAAAUUGCGUGCCUCAAACAUCGAUAAAUUCGAAUGGGAAGAAGAGGUAGAGAAACCAGGAGAAUUUCUCUGCGGACUAGCUAAGAAUAAGAGUGCUAGCUACGUAGUCAUGGGUAAAAUUAAUAAUUUUUAUCUUUAAUAUUCACUAUUACACACUCAUACUUGAUGUAACGUAACAAACAAAAAUUUAUAACAAAGCUCUACCAUCAGUUUUUGAGCUUUUAUAAAAAAUGUUUCCUCUUUUUUUUGUUACAAUUUGUAAAUCGAUUAAUACUGAUUUAUAUAUUAGCAUCUAUUUUAUUUUGUAGCAUCCUAAAUAGGCUUUUUACAUCAGUACCAACGAAAAAUGUUACUAAUGCUUCCUGAUAACUAAUUAAUGGAGGAAGAUGUCUAAUUUUUAUUUUAUCUUUCUAUCAUUAGUAAAUAGUAUUGCAUUAACAAUAUUACGUAGAAUAAUAAAAAAUCUAUCUAGUCAUUAGAUUUAACUUAUCAAAAAGAAGCUAUAGACCUUUUUUAUCAUUAUUAUUUUUUAUAUAUAUUUAUAUUUGAUUCUUCUCCGAUUCCUUAAUGAUUUUUGCUCCUUUGCUUUAUUUUUCAUUCCAUCCUGUUUUUACCAUUUUUCUUCUUUUAGAUUAUUUAUUUAUAACAUAAAAUCACCGGUAAAUAAUCAAGUAUUAACAGGAUGGCUAUCUAUGCUUGAAGACUGAAAAAAAAACAAAUCGCCGUAUGUUUCUACUCAAAAGAAUUAAUUGAAUAAAAUUCUUAGAGAUAUAGCCAGAUGAGGAAAUUAACUAUCCACGGUGCUUUUAAUUUAAAAUGUGUGAAGGAGGAAACAAAAACAUUAUAUAUAUAUACAGUAUAUAUAAAUAAAUAUACUAAUAUAUGUACAUACAUACCGUUUAUACACUAUAUCACGAUAUGCAUAGUCUACAUAUAGAGUAUUGUGUAAAAUUUGCUUCAAAGUAUAAUAUGUAGGCGCCAUCUGUAUUCGAUAUACUGUAUUUAACAUUAAUAAGACGAUUAUUUUUUCUUUGCACAGGUACUCGCGGCUUGGGUAAAUUACGUCGAACCAUUAUGGGUUCCGUUAGCGAUUACGUUGUCCAUCAUUGCUGCUGUCCUGUAUUGGUCUGCCGUCAGAAAUGAACUGAGGAAAAUUAAACAUUUCGUUCAAAUAUAAAAUUAUAAAGCAUGUAGUUGUUGUCAGUGACCUAAGAGUAAAAGCUAUACGCUAUUAGCACAUAGAUAACAAUUAAAUUUUUAAACAGGUAGAUGUGUCUAAUAUCUCUUCGUAUAAUAAUUCGCAUCGGCGCCCAGCAAACCAAAUGAUUAUUGUUUCGUAAUAACUUAAUGUACAACAGCAAAUUAAUAUUAACUAUGAACUAAUAAAUAAUUGUGUAUCUUAUAUCUUAUCUUUGAAGUUUCUUUCAUGUGAGCACAAUCUUUUAUAUAUUUCAAACUUGUAAAAUCGAAGAGUAAAGGGUUAAAAAUUGGUUAUUCCUGUUUCCAGUUUAAAAUUCCACGCUCGAAUAUGGAUUAAAACUAAUCCAAGGCUCUGUUACCGCAAAGCCCCCUUAGAGAAUAUCUUCACUGGUUACAUUUCCAGAAACUUUCUCUGUUUUAUAUAAUAUUUGAUGUUCUUAAACGUUUUUUGACAUUCGAGUCAUUAAGUAGAAGGAAUGUGGGACCAAAUUGAAGUAUAUAUUAUUUACUGUCAAUUUUAAGAUAACGAGUAACUAUGACAUGAAAAUUUAUAUUAAGUGAAAAGCAAGAGGAUGACUCGGCACCUUUGAAACUCUCGCAAAAGAGUGUAUUUAACAACGUCUUAUUAAGUGACAUUGACUUAUUACGUUUCAAUUUUUAAGCUAAUAUAGUUAUUACUAAUAUAUUCUAAUGACCUAAUUGUAUUCUAAGUUUUACACAAUUGAAACGCCCAUAUUUAUCAAAAAUAUAUGAAAUAUAUAGAUCAAAACCAAAUAAAGAAAAGAUAUUUUUAAUUUAAAGUACUUUAAUCUUUAUUAAUUUCAGCACGUGAACGAUCGUUUCAUAAAGGAGUGCUUAUCAAAUUUAAUUAAAUGCUCAUUUAACUAGCAGGUAUUGAGGAAAGCACUUUAAGUUUUUUUUAAAGUUUAACUACAAAAAGAUACUAAAAAGUAAUUAAAUCUACUUUUUUCAGUAUAUAUUUACGUAUUAAGCAGAAAAUUUCGUACUUUCUGCUCUGUAUUUAAAGAAUACAGUACGUUUUCUCUUUCUUUUACUGAAAGAAGACAUAACGUUUAAUAACGCAAAACUUUUACUUUGCGUCAUAUAAACUUUGAAUUUCAUAUCAUUCUUAGUUUUUCAUAACUGAAGUUAUAUUGUUCUUAACAGAAUGAAGGCCGUUAUCUGCUGUGUUGUUCUUGCUUUAUUCGUUGUUGCAGUUAACUGUACCACAAUGUCGCCAAAUGACACUAUUACGGGAAGUUCUCAAACUACAAGAAAUGCGAACCCCGGAAUAAGUGUUGGAUCAACUGCAGGGCAGGAAACUACCAUGAAACAAUCUGUACCAACAGCAAAAACAACUCCAAGUGCCGCAUCGAACUUGAUCUUCAAUGGUAUUGGUUUGAUAAUCGCAACGGUGUUUCUACGUUUGUUGUAGAGAAAAUAGAAAAAAAAAUCGACUUUAAGCUAGCAUAUCGCAUUGGUAUUUGUGUAUUGAAAAGGAAUUUCUUUCCGAAUGAAAAACCAAUUACUGGCAAAAUAUAUCGAAAACUAUAGUUGACUUAUUUUCUUUAGUACGAAACAUAAAUGAAUUAUAUUAUUUAAUAAAUAAACAUUGUCUAUAAGCUAAAA
RNAcentral lists this unclassified non-coding RNA (3191 nucleotides) under Dimorphilus gyrociliatus. RNAcentral's name for it is "usp domain-containing protein". Lineage: Eukaryota; Metazoa; Annelida; Polychaeta; Dinophilidae. The record is from RNAcentral.